RNAcentral lists this long non-coding RNA (416 nucleotides) under Salvia miltiorrhiza (redroot sage). RNAcentral's name for it is "long non-coding RNA (SMIL_LNC004152)". The record is from RNAcentral. Lineage: Eukaryota; Viridiplantae; Streptophyta; Magnoliopsida; Lamiales; Lamiaceae.
AAGGGCCGAACCUCAUUAAAACAUUUUCACUGAAAACCCAGUGGGGAAAACCGUGAAAAGGAAAAAGAGUACUCGUCUAAACACAAAACGAAAGUAGGGAAGAGCGGAAGGGAAAGUUUCCGGAACUCCGGCCUAACCAUCGUCCCCAAACUAUCCCGGCUCUCACCCCACGGAAAAAAAAAAAAAAAAAAAAAAAAAAAAAACGGGCGGUUAGAACCAAACAGCCACCCAUCAGCCCCAACUACCGUUUUUGACGCAGAUGGCUAUGCGAAGCCAUGUCAAGACGAACCGCAGCCCUAAUCUCCUCAAUCUCGUGCGGCCACCACCCUUCCGAACGUUGUUGGUUAGCCAUUAUAUCGGCCGCCUUGUUUCCUUCUCUAAAGAUGUGAGAAACCUGCAGCGAGAAAGCAUCUAAC